UUUGGAAAGUAGUUCAGAAUAUCAACCAAGAGCACGUCAAUUGGAACAACACAGAGAAGGCGAGCAUGGCCCUGUGCAAAGAUGACACACAAAUUCGUGAAACAUUCCAUGUUUUA
Ictidomys tridecemlineatus (thirteen-lined ground squirrel) is the source of this 116-nucleotide non-coding RNA. The record is from Rfam. NCBI's taxonomy places the organism in Eukaryota, Metazoa, Chordata, Mammalia, Rodentia, Sciuridae.